Nasonia vitripennis (jewel wasp) is the source of this 2867-nucleotide RNA transcript. RefSeq lists it as uncharacterized. Lineage: Eukaryota; Metazoa; Arthropoda; Insecta; Hymenoptera; Pteromalidae. The transcript has 4 exons. The record is from RefSeq and is a predicted model, not a curated record.
AAAAAUCAUUUUUCCCUUUUUUUGACAUUAAAACGUAUAUAUGUCUUAUUACGAAUGAUUGGAUUUUUUACGAUUGUAACGUAUUUUUCUGCAAUUUUUGGAUUGUAACAGUCAUUUGACAAAUUUCAAGCAAAAGUUUCGUUUUAUCAUGAGUUAAUGCGUCAUAUCUAUGCAUUUAUAACGGUUAAACGCUUAUUUAGUUAAAUCGUUAACCACAACUUAGGUAAGUGUCUUAAAACGUAGCUUAUUAACCGUUAACAUUUCUACCAGGGGUACUAUACUGUAAAGUAAGAAGGAGACAAACUCGACUUAUAGUAAAUUUUAGUAUGCGGUAGAGUAAAAUUUCAGAUCACCAAAUUUUACUAUACUAUAUAUAGCAAUUUUUACUGUACCGCAUAUCAAAGUUUAUGGAUAAUUAAUCUUUUUAAAAAUAUUUUUGGCCCUUUUAUUUUGUCGUCUAUUGGUGCUAAUUCUCUUACUUGUGUUUGUUGGGUGUUGCAUGAAAAUUUUUAUUGAUUUAUUUGUUACAUUUAUCUCGAAGUUGCAUCGCAUAGAAUUUCAUGAUAACCUAAUUUACUUACAUUGCAAGCUGAUUAUUACACAUGUCGCAUCGCUAAACUAAUCGUAUUGAUAUUUAUAUAUAAUGUUCUGAUCUGGAAGUUCAUUAUAUACUAACCGAACAGUUUUUCGUCACUUGCGAGUGGGGUUUACGAGUCGCCCCUUAGCGGUAGUAAGUGAUUAGGCGAAUUUCUAUCGUCGGGUUAAGUUACGGCGAAUUUUUUAGCUCUUUUGGUAAUUUUUUUUACCGACGGAACACAGCAAGUCAAAGCGAAGUGCAAUUUUCACUAUACUGGUUGAGUUUCUCUCCCGAUUAGGAGAAAGUAUAGUAAUUUUUAGUGAUAUAUUUCUCUCCGUGCAAUAAGCAGACGGCAGCACUGCACGAAAAACGCUACGCACUACAAACAGCCACAUUUACGAUGAACUUAGAGCAUAUUCGACAAUUGAUUACUUAACACUGCUUUUGUUGUAUAUUUUCUUGAUCUUAAUAUUGUAUUUUAUCUCUUAUUGAUUUAAUGUAUCAAAUAAUCAAGCCAAAGGGUAUAAAAUUAAAUUUUAAAUAUAGUGAAAUUAAAAUAAUCGGUAUGUUUACCCAUAACUAUGACUGACUAAAAAAAAAGAGAAUCGGGAAGACAAAAAAUUAAAUUAUUUUCGUAAAAUUAAUUUUCAAACUUAAUUUGCUUAAUAAAUAGGUUAUUAAACUAAUUCAAAGGAUAAUAGGUGGCGGCGCUUCCGACGGCACAGUGUAUAAAACUUAUACUUACCAUUGGGGCGCUACUGAUUAGCUUUUAAUAGCAAUUGACACGCCUUAUUGAUGAUACGUUGGAAAGCAGGUAUACUAAAACACUUCAGAGCUAAUCUUUGCAAUUUUUAUCAAAAAAUUUAACAUGAGAUAUCAUUGUUAAUAAAUAUUACAAAAAUUAACUCUGAAGUGAUUUAGUACACUUACUUUCUGAUGUAUUAUCCGUAUGGUACUAGCACCAAUAAGGCGUGUCAAUUUCCAUUUAAAACUAAUUUACUAUAUUUUUUGAUUUAUAAAUAAUUUUGGCUCGGAAAUGAGAUGUUGGCGUGAGAUCAUUACAAGAGAUCUAAUGUGAGAUCUCACUUAAGAUAUCAUGUGAGAUUUUGCUAUAGGGAACACUAUAUCAAGCUGUGACAAAUUGUGCCAAGUCAUGCCAUGUUAUGUCCGGUUGUGCCCUACUAUUUUAAAUUGUGCCAAUUUAUGCCAGACUGUGCCAGAAAUCCUACAUAACUCGUAAAGAAUAUUUUCAUCAUUUUGUGUGAUAUAUAUUGUGCCAUACUGUGCCACGCUUAGCUGAACUGUAUCGAAAUGUGCUAAACUGUGCUAAAUCGUGCGAUACACCCGAAAUGGUAUAAGUGGGGCACAAGGUGGCACAAUUUGGCACAGUGUCGCACAUUGUGGCACUAUGUGGCGCAUACUAUGGCACAGUGUCGCAUAUUGUGGCACUAUGUGGCGCAUACUAUGGCACAAUUUUUAUCUUCACUAGGAAGAUGAGUUCUCGCUAUAUUUACAAGUAAACGCUUCGCAUGCAUUUAAUUGCAUUUUCCACCCGCUGCAUAAAAAAAUAACGUUCGAUGCACAUACAAAAAGUUGACUCUACACUCAGGAGAUCUCUACUCUCGUUUAGCUGGGGCGGCGAACCUCCCACUAGUACCAAAAUAUUUUAAGAUAGAGUUCAUGUGAGAUUCCGCACCGUGGUUUAAUAUUUUAUUAUAGAUUUUGCUAACUUUGAAACAUUUCUAAAUAUUCUGGCACACUUCCGCCACCUUUACCCUGCUGAAAAAAACUCACGUAAAAACCCAUGCGAGUACUCACGUGAAUACUUACGUGAGUUUUUUUAGCAGGUUGGCGCACUUUUGCAUAUUAUAGCGAGCCUAAUCGUUUUCACUAACCUAAUCAAGAGAAUAAUAGAAGUAAAAUAGUCAGGCCCGGCUUCAGACCUCAGGGACCAGGACAGAAGCAGCGGCGGACCACGGCAAGACCAGCUCAACGCCCUCUUCAGCGGCGGCUUUUGCUUGAGGUUUUAGCGUUGCAGAUUUUCAGAAGGAUGGAGCCUCAUUUAAAUAUGGAAGUUGAAGAGUAUGAAGAUUACGAACAAGCUAUAAAUGAUCAAAUUAGAUUUGAAUCAGCUUAUAGAAAUCAACAACUUAUAGAUGAUCAUAUUUGAGCAAGAAUAUGAUACUUAUUUAAAUGAAUCCAUGUUAGAAUUCCAAGAAUAUAAUAUCAAACAAUUGUAUGACAAGAUAAUAGAGUAAUAGAAUUAAAAUUGUUUCUGAAUUUGAACGAA